UACGUAGGGUGCGAGCGUUGUCCGGAAUUAUUGGGCGUAAAGAGCUUGUAGGCGGUUUGUCGCGUCUGCUGUGAAAAUCCGGGGCUCAACCCCGGACUUGCAGUGGGUACGGGCAGGCUAGAGUGUGGUAGGGGAGACUGGAAUUCCUGGUGUAGCGGUGGAAUGCGCAGAUAUCAGGAGGAACACCGAUGGCGAAGGCAGCACUCUGGGCCGGCACUGACGCUGAGGAGCGAAAGCGUGGGGAGCGAACAGG
This 253-nucleotide ribosomal RNA is filed under the name uncultured bacterium. Its description in RNAcentral is "partial 16S ribosomal RNA". It matches the Rfam family "Bacterial small subunit ribosomal RNA", at positions 524 to 776 of the family's 1533-position model. The record is from RNAcentral.